UACAGAGGUCUCAAGCGUUGUUCGGAUUCAUUGGGCGUAAAGGGUGUGUAGGUGGCGCGCUAAGUCGGGUGUGAAAUUUCGGAGCUUAACUCCGAAACUGCAUUCGAUACUGGCGUGCUUGAGGACUGGAGAGGAGACUGGAAUUCAUGGUGUAGCAGUGAAAUGCGUAGAGAUCAUGAGGAAGACCAGUGGCGAAGGCGGGUCUCUGGACAGUUUCUGACACUGAGACACGAAGGCCAGGGGAGCAAACGGG
This 253-nucleotide ribosomal RNA is filed under the name uncultured bacterium. RNAcentral's name for it is "partial 16S ribosomal RNA". It matches the Rfam family "Bacterial small subunit ribosomal RNA", at positions 524 to 776 of the family's 1533-position model. The record is from RNAcentral.